Molecule: ribosomal RNA, 460 nt
Filed under: uncultured bacterium
Lineage: Bacteria
Description: partial 16S ribosomal RNA
Rfam family: Bacterial small subunit ribosomal RNA
Source: RNAcentral
CCUACGGGUGGCAGCAGUGAGGAAUAUUGGUCAAUGGACGAGAGUCUGAACCAGCCAAGUAGCGUGAAGGAUGACUGCCCUAUGGGUUGUAAACUUCUUUUAUAUGGGAAUAAAACGUUCCACGUGUGGGAUUUUGUAUGUACCAUAUGAAUAAGGAUCGGCUAACUCCGUGCCAGCAGCCGCGGUAAUACGGAGGAUCCGAGCGUUAUCCGGAUUUAUUGGGUUUAAAGGGAGCGUAGGUGGAUUGUUAAGUCAGUUGUGAAAGUUUGCGGCUCAACCGUAAAAUUGCAGUUGAAACUGGCAGUCUUGAGUACAGUAGAGGUGGGCGGAAUUCGUGGUAUAGCGGUGAAAUGCUUAGAUAUCACGAAGAACUCCGAUUGCGAAGGCAGUUCACUGGACUGCAACUGACACUGAGGCUCGAAAGUGUGGGUAUCAAACAGGAUUAGAUACCCUUGUAGUC